RNAcentral lists this ribosomal RNA (915 nucleotides) under uncultured marine archaeon. RNAcentral's name for it is "bacterial SSU rRNA". It matches the Rfam family "Archaeal small subunit ribosomal RNA", at positions 1 to 921 of the family's 1478-position model. The record is from RNAcentral.
UUCCGGUUGAUCCCGCCGGAGGCUACCGCUAUUGGAGUUCGAUUAAGCCAUGCGAGUCGCGAGAAAUUAGAUUCUCGGCGUACCGCUCAGUAACACGUGGGUAACCUGCCCUAUGCUGGAUAAUAACCUCGGGAAACUGAGAAUAAUGAUCCAUAGUUCACUACGCCUGGAACGGUGAGUGGAUGAAAGCUCCGGCGGCAUAGGAUGGGCCUGCGGCGUAUCAGGUUGUAGGGGGUGUAACGUACCCUCUAGCCCUCUACGCGUACGGGUGUUGGGAGACAUAGCCCGGAGAUGGAUUCUGAGACACGAAUCCAGACCCUACGGGGUGCAGCAGGCGCGAAAACUUGGCAAUGCGAGAAAUCGUGACCAGGGAACUCCAAGUGCAUCGGGUAAGACCGGUGCUUUUCUUGACUCUAAAUAGGUCUUGGAAUAAGGGGUGGGUAAGGACGGUGCCAGCCGCCGCGGUAAUACCGGCGCCUCAAGUGGUAGUCGCUUUUAUUGGGCCUAAAACGUCCGUAGCCGGUCUGAUACAUUCGUGGGUAAAUCAACCAGCUUAACUGGUUGAAUUCUGCGAGGACGGUCAGACUUGGGACCGGGAGAGGUGUGGGGUACGCUCAGGGUAGGGGUAAAAUCCUGUCAUCCUGAGCGGACCACCUGUUGCGAAGGCGCCACACUAGAACGGAUCCGACGGUCAGGGACGAAGCCUAGGGGCACGAACCGGAUUAGAUACCCGGGUAGUCCUAGGUGUAAACGCUGUGGACUUGAUGUUGGGGGUGCUCCGAGCACUCUCAGUGUCGAAGCGAAGGUGAUAAGUCCACUGCCUGGGAAGUACGGUCGCAAGGCUGAAACUUAAAGGAAUUGGCGGGGGAGCACCGCAACCUGAGGAUUGUGCGGUUUAAUUGGAGUCAACGCCGG